GACGAACGCUGGCGGCGUGCCUAAUACAUGCAAGUAGAACGCUGAAGCGAGGAGCUUGCUCUUCUUGGAUGAGUUGCGAACGGGUGAGUAACGCGUAGGUAACCUGCCUUGUAGCGGGGGAUAACUAUUGGAAACGAUAGCUAAUACCGCAUAACAAUGGAUGACACAUGUCAUUUAUUUGAAAGGGGCAAUUGUUCCACUACAAGAUGGACCUGCGUUGUAUUAGCUAGUAGGUGAGGUAAUGGCUCACCUAGGCGACGAUACAUAGCCGACCUGGGAGGGUGGUCGGCCACACUGGGACUGAGACACGGCCCAGACUCCUACGGGAGGCAGCAGUAGGGAAUCUUCGGCAAUGGGGGCAACCCUGACCGAGCAACGCCGCGGGAGUGAAGAAGGUUUUCGGAUCGUAAAGCUCUGUUGUAAGUCAAGAACGGGUGUGAGAGUGGAAAGUUCACACUGUGACGGUAGCUUAACAGAAAGGGACGGCUAACUACGUG
RNAcentral lists this ribosomal RNA (497 nucleotides) under uncultured bacterium. RNAcentral's name for it is "partial 16S ribosomal RNA". It matches the Rfam family "Bacterial small subunit ribosomal RNA", at positions 28 to 507 of the family's 1533-position model. The record is from RNAcentral.